RNAcentral lists this ribosomal RNA (604 nucleotides) under Bipolaris setariae. RNAcentral's name for it is "eukaryotic LSU rRNA". The stretch from base 211 to 364 matches the Rfam family "5.8S ribosomal RNA". The record is from RNAcentral. Lineage: Eukaryota; Fungi; Ascomycota; Dothideomycetes; Pleosporales; Pleosporaceae.
AGCUCUGCGUAGGUGACCUGCGCGAGGGAUCAUUACACAACGAAAAUAUGAAGGCUUUGGCUUCGCGGCCGGCUGAAAUAUUUUUUUCACCCAUGUCUUUUGCGCACUUGUUGUUUCCUGGGCGGGUUCGCCCGCCACCAGGACCAAACCAUAAACCUUUUUUUUAAUGCAGUUGCAAUCAGCGUCAGUAAAAAACAAUGUAAUUAUUACAACUUUCAACAACGGAUCUCUUGGUUCUGGCAUCGAUGAAGAACGCAGCGAAAUGCGAUACGUAGUGUGAAUUGCAGAAUUCAGUGAAUCAUCGAAUCUUUGAACGCACAUUGCGCCCUUUGGUAUUCCAAAGGGCAUGCCUGUUCGAGCGUCAUUUGUACCUUCAAGCUUUGCUUGGUGUUGGGCGUUUUUUGUCUCCCUCUUGCUGGGAGACUCGCCUUAAAACGAUUGGCAGCCGGCCUACUGGUUUCGGAGCGCAGCACAUAUUUUGCACUCUGUGUCAGGAGAAAAGGACGGUAAUCCAUCAAGACUCUACAAAUUUUAACUUUUGACCUCGGAUCAGGUAGGGAUACCCGCUGAACUUAAGCAUAUCAAUAAGCCGGAGGAAACCUCC